This 457-nucleotide long non-coding RNA is filed under the name Pongo abelii (Sumatran orangutan). RNAcentral describes it as "lincRNA". The record is from RNAcentral. Lineage: Eukaryota; Metazoa; Chordata; Mammalia; Primates; Hominidae.
CCCGCCGGACCCCGGGACUACGGAGGCCAUCCCGUCCGGCCACCCACACCCCGCGCCGCGGCUGGGGCUUGGGUUGGGGACUGUGGCGGCGAAGAAGCUGGGUGAGGGAUUUCUCACAAGAUCUGAUGUUUUAAGCGUGGCAGUUUCCCCUGAGGUCUCCUUCCUGCUGGUAUGUAAGGCGUGCCUUGCUUCCCCUUCACCUUCCGCCGUUGUACAUUUCCUGAGGCCUCCCCAGCCACACAGAACUGCAUACAACUCAGGAUUCAUAACUACAUAUAUACGGAUAGAAGUGCAUGAACAGAAAAUCUGCUCUUCUAGAAUACCAAAUGCAAAAUUAAAGUCACUACAAGCAGAAUUUGGAGAAAACAAAUAAAAGAUGCAAUAUAGUUUUUAAAAUCAUUGUUAAAAUAUAAUGAGUCUGUACUUUGCUUAAACAAUAAAAAAUGUCUUUGAUUUA